GAUGAAGAACGUAGCGAAAUGCGAUAAGUAAUGUGAAUUACAGAAUUCAGUGAAUCAUCGAAUCUUUGAACGCACAUUGCGCCCCUUGGUAUUCCGAGGGGCAUGCCUGUUCGAGCGUCAUUAUAACCCCUCAAGCUCAGCUUGGUGUUGGGGCCUGCUGCACUGGCAGCCCUUAAAAUCAGUGGCGGCGCCAUCUGGCUCUAAGCGUAGUAAUUCUUCUCGCUAUGGAGUCCUGGUGGAUGCUUGCCAUCAACCCCCAAUUUUUCUAUGGUUGACCUCGGAUCAGGUAGGGAUACCCGCUGAACUUAAGCAUAUCAAAAGCGGAGGA
Molecule: unclassified non-coding RNA, 328 nt
Filed under: soil metagenome
Description: partial contains 5.8S ribosomal RNA, internal transcribed spacer 2, and large subunit ribosomal RNA
Rfam family: 5.8S ribosomal RNA (bases 1-120)
Source: RNAcentral